GAUGAACGCUGGCGGCGUGCUUAACACAUGCAAGUCGAACGGAGAUUAUUGAAGGAAGUUUUCGGAUGGAAUUUAAUAAUCUUAGUGGCGGACGGGUGAGUAACGCGUGGGUAACCUGCCUCAUACAGGGGGAUAACACUUAGAAAUAGGUGCUAAAACCGCAUAAGCGCACAGUACCGCAUGGUACAGUGUGAAAAACUCCGGUGGUAUGAGAUGGACCCGCGUCUGAUUAGCUAGUUGGUGGGGUAACGGCCCACCAAGGCGACGAUCAGUAGCCGACCUGAGAGGGUGACCGGCCACAUUGGGACUGAGACACGGCCCAAACUCCUACGGGAGGCAGCAGUGGGGAAUAUUGGGCAAUGGGCGAAAGCCUGACCCAGCAACGCCGCGUGAAGGAAGAAGGUCUUCGGAUCGUAAACUUCUGUCCUAAGUGAAGAGUAGAAGACGGUAACUUAGGAGGAAGCCCCGGCUAACUACGUG
RNAcentral lists this ribosomal RNA (480 nucleotides) under uncultured bacterium. Its description in RNAcentral is "bacterial SSU rRNA". It matches the Rfam family "Bacterial small subunit ribosomal RNA", at positions 28 to 507 of the family's 1533-position model. The record is from RNAcentral.